CCAUUUGCUGUUUUUCCUGUAGAGAAGGCUGUUGUCAUGAGAAAGGGAGCAGUCUGAGGCUUUAACUAACACUGAUUCUUUGGUAGUUUGGAAAAGAGCAAUGGCAGUCCAUGACAGAACAAGGCUUGAAUUGGCAUGGUUGCAGACACUUGCACCACAUAUAGUCAUAUACAAUGCUCAAGAAAAAAC
Molecule: long non-coding RNA, 189 nt
Organism: Ipomoea triloba (trilobed morning glory)
Lineage: Eukaryota; Viridiplantae; Streptophyta; Magnoliopsida; Solanales; Convolvulaceae
Exons: 2
Source: RefSeq, a predicted model, not a curated record